Molecule: transfer RNA, 76 nt
Filed under: Gammaproteobacteria bacterium AqS3
Lineage: Bacteria; Pseudomonadati; Pseudomonadota; Gammaproteobacteria
Description: tRNA-Ala
Rfam family: tRNA
About the family: Transfer RNA (tRNA) molecules are approximately 80 nucleotides in length. Their secondary structure includes four short double-helical elements and three loops (D, anti-codon, and T loops). Further hydrogen bonds mediate the characteristic L-shaped molecular structure. tRNAs have two regions of fundamental functional importance: the anti-codon, which is responsible for specific mRNA codon recognition, and the 3' end, to which the tRNAs corresponding amino acid is attached (by aminoacyl-tRNA synthetases). tRNAs cope with the degeneracy of the genetic code in two manners: having more than one tRNA (with a specific anti-codon) for a particular amino acid; and 'wobble' base-pairing, i.e. permitting non-standard base-pairing at the 3rd anti-codon position.
Source: RNAcentral
GGGGAUGUAGCUCAAUCGGGAGAGCGUCUGCCCUGCAAGCAGAAGGUCGCCGGUUCGAUUCCGGCCGUCUCCACCA